RNAcentral lists this ribosomal RNA (164 nucleotides) under uncultured bacterium. RNAcentral's name for it is "partial 16S ribosomal RNA". It matches the Rfam family "Bacterial small subunit ribosomal RNA", at positions 339 to 518 of the family's 1533-position model. The record is from RNAcentral.
CUACGGGAGGCAGCAGUGGGGAAUAUUGCACAAUGGGGGAAACCCUGAUGCAGCAACGCCGCGUGAAGGAAGAAGUAUUUCGGUAUGUAAACUUCUAUCGACAGGGAAGAAAAAAUGACGGUACCUGAAUAAGAAGCACCGGCUAAAUACGUGCCAGCAGCCGC